This 301-nucleotide ribosomal RNA is filed under the name uncultured bacterium. Its description in RNAcentral is "partial 16S ribosomal RNA". It matches the Rfam family "Bacterial small subunit ribosomal RNA", at positions 509 to 807 of the family's 1533-position model. The record is from RNAcentral.
CAGCAGCCACGGUAAUACGAAGGGUGCAAGCGUUAAUCGGAAUUACUGGGCGUAAAGCGUGCGUAGGCGGCUUUGUAAGUUAGAGGUGAAAGCCUGGUGCUCAACACCAGAACUGCCUUUAAGACUGCAUCGCUUGAACGUCGGAGAGGUGAGUGGAAUUCCGAGUGUAGAGGUGAAAUUCGUAGAUAUUCGGAAGAACACCAGUGGCGAAGGCGGCUCACUGGACGACUGUUGACGCUGAGGUACGAAAGCGUGGGGAGCAAACAGGAUUAGAUACCCGUGUAGUCCCUGUCUCUUAUAC